Long non-coding RNA from Nicotiana tabacum (common tobacco), 714 nucleotides. RefSeq lists it as uncharacterized. Lineage: Eukaryota; Viridiplantae; Streptophyta; Magnoliopsida; Solanales; Solanaceae. The record is from RefSeq and is a predicted model, not a curated record.
UACAAUAAAGAAACCCCAACCUUAAUCAAAUUUUCUUUUCUCCCUCUUCUUUCUCUUCUCCUCCCUCUAAACGGAGACCAACCCUCAACCAUCGUCUCUCUGUUUCUCCUUCCGACCAGCCAUUGUCUCUCUCUUCCUCCGCUCCCCAGCGACGACCAGCCCGAGGGACAAGAAAGACCAGAGCCAGAGAUGCAGCAUUGAACGCCAUUCAAUCUCCUUUACUAGACAUUGGCAUUGAGAGGGCUACUGGAAUUGUAUGGAAUAUAACUGACGGUAGUGAUCUAACAUUAUUUGAGAUGGCAUACGACCUUUCCUCCGAGCGCAACUAUCAUCGCCUCGAGUGUGGACUACAAGGAACUAUGCGCAUGUACGAGAAAAAAUAAAGCAUGGAGAGAAGAUUAGGACCGCACUUAAGAAUGACAUCGAGUCCCUCAAGGCUCAAGUGAACCACUUAUAAUCGGCUUGCCCCGCUCUCCGCCAAAAAGCCACACUUAUGAAGAGGAUGAAAGUGAUGGAAACAAUAUAAAUGAUGAAGAGAUGAGGGGGAAUCCGAAGAUGAGCAGUGAUUUUAUGUUUGGUUGGAUUGUUGUUUAGUUGGACGUUUACUUUGAAUAUUACAUUUUGAAGUUUGGUUGGGAUAGUUUUGAUGUUUGAUGGGAUAAUUUGGAUGUUUGGAUAGUUUAUUAAGUUUUAUUAUUAUUAAUUUGUGUUUUA